This is a long non-coding RNA of Canis lupus familiaris (dog), 4246 nucleotides long. RefSeq lists it as uncharacterized. Lineage: Eukaryota; Metazoa; Chordata; Mammalia; Carnivora; Canidae. The transcript is spliced from 2 exons. The record is from RefSeq and is a predicted model, not a curated record.
UCGUGCGUAAAAUUUAGUAAAACUCCUAAAGCUGCCCGGUCUUGAGUAUAGAUUGCGGGUGAGCACGGCACCUGCCUUCGAGGACCCCCGUCACCGCAGAAGGGAACCGGGCGAGACGCUGAGACCGCGGAGGGGUCGCGUGGCCCAACACGCAGGAGCCAGAGCAGGGAAGGGAGCGCAGAUAACUCUCUGAAAGAAGCCAACUGCUAUGUCAUGAGGACACUCAAAUGGCCUUGUGGAGAGGCCCCUGUGGUGAGAAACUGAAACUUUUUGCCAACUACCAGAGAGAAGCUGAGGCCUCCUGCCAAUAGCUACGUAAGUGCGCCAUCUUGGAAGCAGAUCCUCCAUCUUCAGCCAAGCCUUCAGAUAACUGCAAUCCCAUCUGACAGUUUAACUGCAAUCUCAUAGGAGAUCCUAAGCUUCUCCUGGAUUCCUGAACCUCAGAAGCAAUGUGAGAUAUUAAAUGUAUCUGGUUUCGAGCUACUAAAUUAUUGGUUACAACAGAUAAUUAAAAAUCCAAGUAACCAAUUCUUUACAUUAAAGUUCUCCAUUUGAAAUAUAUAUCAUGGUUUAUUGCUGGAUCUUGAUUGGUAGAAGACUUGGCAGCAUGAGUGGACCCAGGAAACUGACCCUCAAAGAUAGGACUCUGCAACUGAGUUGCUUACCUCUUCGACUCUGAACACAGUGAUAACUUUCUUGCCAACGACAAUUGGGAUGCUGGUAAUCUGUAACAGGCAACAGAGCAAAAUGACUUAAAUUAUUCCCUGUGGCUGGUUGGGAUGAAUUAUCUAUGGAAGGUAAGACUUUAAGUAACAAAGUUGCUGAAGUACGUGACAGUUAUGGUAAUAAGAACUGGGAAUGAGCUUUCUCUGACAUCAAGUCAUAGAAAACCAGAAAGCAUCUUCAGUAGUUAUGAAAGAACCUCUUAUUUCUUGGAGACAUAAGACAGGUAUGACUAAUCAAAAUAUUUUUGUGAGUUGCAUAAUUACAAUAUAAGAUGAAUUUACAGAGUUUCUUAUGUAAAAGUUUAGGAAUUGUUUGGAAGAAAUGGAUGCUUGAACUUGGAAGGAAGAAAUUUUGUUCAGCUUAGACAAAGUUGAGUAUUUUUAAUCUAAUAUCUCUGAGCCACUUGCCAGCAGAAGCAGCUUCUUAUGUUUUAAGGAGAGUAGCCUUACUCGAAGACCCUAUAAACUCCUGCCUUCAAAAAGAAUGUUUAUUCUCCUCAGCAUCAUUCACUGCCUCAAAACCUGCAAAUAGGGUUGUAUCUCAACACACCCCAGGGAGGCAAGUGCCAAAACAUGCUUGGGAGAAGAGAGUUUAUAUUCCAAAAGAACAGCAAGAUUUUGGAAGUAUACAUUGGCAGAAACUUGGAGAAUAGAUAUGGGAGUACUCUCAAUGGAUAUUAGACCAAAAAUCUAAUACAACAUUGGAUUAAAACAAAUAUAUUAUUAUGAUUUAACUUAACAGAGAAUUAUGUAACUAUGAGAAGUUUCAAGAGUUUGCUUGGAUGAUUACUAAAACAUGGACACCAACGUGACCUAAUUCAAUCAGGAUGAAAUGCCGGAACUUCCUUGGCAUAAAAUAGGAGACAAAACCAAAAGGCUUAGAAAGAUAGGAAUGUUGGAGUAAACCUGAAUAUCCAUACAAAUAAUUCCCUUGAGAGUCCAGAGUGCUCUCUCUUCAAUAAAACACUGAGAAAUACAUUAACAAUGGGGUCACUAUAUGCUUAGAAGAGCUCUAUGGUGGAUGGCUGUCUUUUAUAAGCGAGGGAUGAUGAUGAGAAAUGCCACCACUGAAAUGAGUUUCCUGAUUUUAAAAUAGACAGUGAAAUUCUGGAAUAUUAGGGGCCAACUUAACCUCUAAAGACAAAGUAUGCAUAAUUACCACAAUCAGUUAUGUCUGACCUGCAGGUAUCUGCUAUAAGGCUAACCUGAUCACAGUGUUUCAUGAAACAAAUAGGCAGCCUAAUAAAUAAUUAUAUAUGUAUGCAACUGUAAUUAAAAAAUUCUAGGCCAAGAGGACAGAAAUCUGACUUGGAUCACCACAACAGUGGAGCACAUCUUCUUACCCUUGCAGCCUUAAGCAAACUCCUAGGCUCAGAGUGCAGGGGGCUCAUUCAGCAUCACCACAAUAUAUUCUGAAAUAUUUUCUAAGCCUUCUAUAAGGUGCUUAUAUAAAUAGGGUGAUCAUGUUCUGGAAAAGGAAAACAUCCAGGCCUAAUUUGAGAUUACUAGAUGCUAGCUCCUCUGAGGUUAUAAUGCCACCAUGGCCCACCAGACAAUGUGGGACUUAUGGAGGUCAAUUGAUAAAGUGGAUUUUUGGGCCUCUAGCUAUAUCCUCAGAUCUUGCAUAUAUAAUUUGAAUAGUCAUGCUUAGAAACUUACAGAAUCACUGUACGACACUUCUUACCUCUGGAGGUAGGGUUGUUAUGUUAGAGCCAUGAUGAGGUCAUGGCUCUAAAGCUUCCUCUCUCAACCAGAGUGGUAAGCCACAACUGACCCCUGGUGGAAGUACAGAGAUCAUUGGCUUCAUCAAAAAUUUGAAGAACAAAAGGAUGAUAUCUCAUAUCACCUUCCAGUGUAAUUCUCUUUUUUGGCCUAUGCAAAAGACAGAUGGAUCGUGAGUUGUUAUAAAGCUAUGCAGGUCAUUAUUCCCAUUGCAGCAGUUACUCCAGACAUAGAAUUUUUAAAGGGGCAAAUUAGUACAACCUCUAGAUCCUGGUAUGCAGCUAUUGAUUUGACAAAUGCCUUUUUGUCUAUAACAAAUUGCAAAUCCCACCAGAAGCAGGGACAGCAACACAUCUUCACACUCUUGCUUCAGGGCUAAAUCAACUGUUCCAUUGCCUGACAAAAUCUAACACCCCAAAAUCUUGAUCAUCUUGGAAUUUCAUGGAAUAUCGUGUCAAACAUCUGAUGACAUCAUGCUUACUGAGCCUUAUGAACAGGAACUAGUAGGAACUUUAAAUGCCUUAGUAGCAUGCAUUCCAGAAAGUGGGAAGUAUACCCAAGUUUUUAGGGACCUGCAACUUAAUGGUGUUUUUUAGAUACCCAGCCUGCCUGCUGGUACCAUUGACUAUUGGAUAAUCCAUCAAACAGAAGGUCCAAAACAGAUGAUGCCAAGUGAUUUCAAUUAUUAAAGGCUUCAUCCUGUUAAAAUUCAUAUAUCACAAAUCUGCAUGUUUUGAGUAUCUUCUGUAUGCAAAGUGAGCAAGUAGUUCCUUCCAAAUAUCAAACAGUUGCUGAGAUACGGUAGUUCAAGGACCUGGACUAUGCAUGAUGUGACCUCAUGCUGUAAUCUGUGGGAUUAAGGAGGAAGAUUAGAAUGGUACGUCUGGUACAAGGGGACUGUACCAUCCAUGUGAGCCAACAGUCCAGACAGUGAGGUCCUGCCACAACUACUACAUCCUCACUCUCUCUCACUGCUAAUUAAUCUAAUUAAUCCCAACACCCUCUCCUACUGAACUUGGACUCAGUCUCAGAAUCCUUCCAAACACAGCAUCACAAAUAAUCUUCACCAAUCCAUUGUAGAAAUAAAUCUUUCUGUCAAAACAGAGGGAAUCCAGGCAUAAGGCCGCUAGCUAGCUAGAAAUCAUAAAAACUGAAUGAGGGGAAGCAGGAGAAAAGUGAAGAGUAGGAAGUGAAAUCUAAAUGUAUCUGGGUGAAAAAGGAAAAGAUCCAUAGUAUCCAGAGUAGGCAGGGGAAGAACUAUCACAGAUAUCUGUUAGCUCUAAUAGUGAAUACAGAGAAUUCCUUCUGAAGAAAGCUCAUCGGCCUAACACUAAAGUGCUUCUGGGAUAGAGGAACCAUAUUCUGAAGAAGCUAUGUGGGAGUUAUACAUCAGUUUGCCUAAUGCUACAGGGGCAAAGGGGCUGUCUACAAGCACCCACUCUGCGACGCAGAACUGGGAGUUCACAGACAUCUAAGGACAAACACUGGAAAUAUUUCUACUAUUCUGAAAACGAAACAGAACAUAGUAGUAUUUAAUAUCCAUCUACUUCACAGAGCCAUAGUAAGUUUCUAUAUUAAGAAAACACAGCUUGCAAGCAAGUUGAGCAAGACCCUCAGAGCAAAGCGACAGAUAAAUGGAACAAUAUUAUUAGAACAGAUUAUUAGUUUCUUUUGCUAAAGAGCCCCAAAACUGAGAAAGUUGUCGUCCAUGGCUUUUUGCUAAUCAUAUCCCCCAAAGGAACAAGCAGCAAACUUUUCACAUUAGAGGAUCUCAAUAAACGUGUUGAAUUAAAUUGGAA